Molecule: transfer-messenger RNA, 363 nt
Filed under: Neisseria sp.
Lineage: Bacteria; Pseudomonadati; Pseudomonadota; Betaproteobacteria; Neisseriales; Neisseriaceae
Rfam family: transfer-messenger RNA
About the family: Bacterial tmRNA, also known as 10Sa RNA or SsrA, is named for its dual tRNA and mRNA-like properties. Its role is to liberate the mRNA from a stalled ribosome. To accomplish this part of the tmRNA is used as a reading frame that ends in a translation stop signal.
Source: RNAcentral
GGGGGCGAUCCUGGUUUCGACGGGGGUUGCAAAGCGGAUGCGGGCAUACCGGGGUCUCAGAUACCCGUAAAACACUGAAAACUUAUAGUCGCAAACGACGAAACUUUCGCACUGGCCGCUUAAGGCCUGCCGUUGCAACAGCUGGUCAAUGGGCUGUGUGGGGUAAAACCCACGGCAACGUCACUUACAUUGACUGGUUUUCUGUCGGGUUACUUGGCAGAAAAUAAGAUUUAAGGUAACUGGUUUUCAGGCAGCCUGUCGAUCGGCGGUUUGCAAAACGAGAUUCAAAUUGAUCCGACUAAGUAUGUAGAACGCUUCGUAGAGGAUUUCCGGACGCGGGUUCGAUUCCCGCCGCCUCCACCA